AACGUAGGUCACAAGCGUUGUCCGGAAUUACUGGGUGUAAAGGGAGCGCAGGCGGGAAGACAAGUUGGAAGUGAAAUCUAUGGGCUCAACCCAUAAACUGCUUUCAAAACUGUUUUUCUUGAGUAGUGCAGAGGUAGGCGGAAUUCCCGGUGUAGCGGUGGAAUGCGUAGAUAUCGGGAGGAACACCGGUGGCGAAGGCGGCCUACUGGGCACCAACUGACGCUGAGGCUCGAAAGUGUGGGUAGCAAACAGG
This 253-nucleotide ribosomal RNA is filed under the name Faecalibacterium prausnitzii. Its description in RNAcentral is "partial 16S ribosomal RNA". It matches the Rfam family "Bacterial small subunit ribosomal RNA", at positions 524 to 776 of the family's 1533-position model. Lineage: Bacteria; Bacillati; Bacillota; Clostridia; Eubacteriales; Oscillospiraceae. The record is from RNAcentral.